GGGCGGCCUGGGGCUCGCCGCUGGUCAGGCCAGGUUAGCCCAAGGGAGACCAAAGACUCCACCUUGAGCAUCGCCCUUUGGAGGCGGGCAGAGUCCGGCCGCAGGCCACAAAGCGAUCCCCACCCGAAGGACUCCACAAGGACAGUCCUUUCCUUGCUCACCGCCGACAAAGUGGUUGGGGCAGGAAGGCGAGAAGGCACAGAUCAUUCAUGGGGAUGUAUAACCGAAACCAGUCCUCUCCACCGCCUGGGGAUCUUCACUUUCGCAGUCUACGACUGCCUGUGACUCCAGAAAGACAAACUGCAGAUUGGCCAAGGUCCAGCCUAAAUGUUACCUCCUCCAGGGAGCCUUUCCAGAUACUGCUUCUCCUCUCUCCCCCAACUCCCUCCCACAAAUGAAGUUUUCUCUUCUGAAUUCCUUGCUGCUGCCUGAAGACCCAGCCCGACAGCGAUGCCUGUCAGCCCGCGUCGCCCACCAGGGCAGCUGCUCUCCCAACUCGCAUGGGGGGCACCACCCCGCCUCGGUGCCCUAGAGCUGAGCGCAGCCGCGGCUCCACGGGGAUCGCCAGGGCCUCAGCCCUCGCGGCCGGCGGCGCGGGAGUGUUGCGGGGCAGGGACCAGAGCGCGAUCAGAGCGGCCACCCCCGAUUUAGGUCGCCAGCUUUCCAGUCACUGCGAUGGCCACUGGGGCGCCCCUUCCAUCCUGGUUAAAUUCUCAUUGUGAUCCCCAGCCCUCUUCUCGGUUCCCCACACCCAGGAGGCCGGUUCUCCGCCGCUCAGGCUGGGAGAGGUCACCGCUCCGGGCAGGGUGGACCCCCAGCUCCGUCUCGGAGGACCUUUCGCCGGAGGCGAGCAGGAAGGGGUUAACCAUGAGCCUCCCACCCUCACCUCCCAGACCCUGGUGCCGGGCUAAGGCCUCCGCUUCCCUCCUGAGGUCUCAUUAGGAAACCCUCACCGCUAUUUUCAACAUUUCCUCAAUCAAGUGCCUUUAAAUAGAGCUGCACAAACAGAUUGGCGGCAAAAGCGUAGAUCUUGUCACGAUUGAGACCAAUCCAGUAUUUCAGCCUUGUUUGCUUUGCAAUUACGGGUUGGCUUGUGGCUACGGUGCCACCGGGGCAAAUCUGCAGCCGCUCGCUUUCUCCUCUGCGCUCCGGGCGGGUGGAGGAAGCGACCCGCGGAGUCACUGCAGGGAGGAGAGGGGGACGCGCGCGGGGGGAGGCGGCGGAGGGCGGAGGAGACUCGCUUGCACCCCAGGGCCGCGGGCACGCAGAGCUGUGUUGAAGGACAUACUUUUCAGGUUCCUGACAGUCACUGAGCUAUACGCAAUAAUAAAGUGCGUGAUUCGCGUGUGGAAA
RNAcentral lists this long non-coding RNA (1353 nucleotides) under Homo sapiens (human). RNAcentral's name for it is "long non-coding RNA NONHSAT199403.1". Lineage: Eukaryota; Metazoa; Chordata; Mammalia; Primates; Hominidae. The record is from RNAcentral.